AGUAACGGCGAGUGAAGCGGCAACAGCUCAAAUUUGAAAUCUGGCCCUCGGGUCCGAAUUGUAAUUUGUAGAGGAUGCUUUUGGUGAGGUACCUUCCGAGUUCCCUGGAACGGGACGCCAUAGAGGGUGAGAGCCCCGUCUGGUUG
Molecule: ribosomal RNA, 146 nt
Filed under: Ilyonectria sp.
Lineage: Eukaryota; Fungi; Ascomycota; Sordariomycetes; Hypocreales; Nectriaceae
Description: partial large subunit ribosomal RNA
Rfam family: Eukaryotic large subunit ribosomal RNA
Source: RNAcentral